AUUGUGAAUCGGCGACAACUUAAAUUGAAACAUGAGUACUAAAACAUUAGCGACGUUAAUCCGAAACGACGUAAAUCGGUACGACGUAAAUAGAGGACUUACUGUACAUGCAUUCUCUCGCAUGAAGAAAACAAGAAUGUGUUACAAAACAUUAUGCUACUGUGAGAAGAAUAAUAUUUACCUUGAAACUUUCUUCAGUGAAUCUCUUAGCAUAUUCAGGCCUUGCCAAGAGAGAUGAAGACCAUCUCUGUAAACAAAAUUUUACAUAUGACUUAGCUGCAUCAGACAGACAUAGCAAUAUCACAAAUCAAGCUGGUCAUGAAAAGUAUAGUUCACCUAUCACAUUGGGAAGAAAACCAAGUACCAUAAACUCCCGAUUCGGGUUAGUGCCAUGUAUUUGUCGUCAGUAGUAUUCUGAGCACAAGAGAAGUCUUUGUGAACGGUAUCACAGCGUAAUAGAACGUAAACAACUCUGCACUGCGUCUCGCCAUGCAGUCUUUCUCUGUCUGCUGAAGAGGCCGCAGUUACCCACUCCUCUCCCCACCAACCUUGAUAUUGCUGGUUUUUUUUUUUACCAGUCUGCGGAAAGUUAUUCUUUUCAGUUCCCUGUCCUUUCAUAACAUAACCACGCAGGAAAACUUUUGCCAGGAUUAAGGAAUAUAUAAAUAUCUAUUCAAUACACCUAUUCUCCAAGGCUUACUUUUCACGGACCUAAAACAGGAAAGUUUCCAUAAAUCAAAAAUGAAUGUGAUUCAUUCGCAAUUUGCUGCGCCGUGGCUGCAGUGUUUAUCAUGAAAUGUUACAUUCACAGCUAGGAACAAUAUUGCUGGCGGCAUGAAAACCCGUGAAUACUGCCUCCAUUUACGUUGUAGGUUCUCAGUCAUUUACAAGGCCGAAAAUAAAACGUUCAGUCAACAAUCCUCAAGAUAAAAGUGUGCUGGCCGUGCACACAAUUUCUGGCUGGUUUAUUUUUAUCUCCCUCCCAACCCCCUCCUCUUGGGCCAUCGUCCUGCCAAAUGCCAGCCUGCCACUUCACUCGCCAGGCGCCUGCCGGCAGCAGAGAAUAACAUCACGGCAGGCAGUGCGUGAAGUAAACAAGCUAAGAAGCAGCAGGGGUCAGGGCAUCCCAUUGGGUUUAAAGUGUGACAAAUGUGACAGGUGAGGGGGUGAGAGUUAAGAGGCUAUUUUACAUAGGUAAAUGGUGGUUUAAAAUACAGAAUGGCUUAAGCAUGAAAGUGUGUAGGAGCUAUGCCAUUAUUUUUUUACGGCUUGAGAAAAUAAUAAACUAAUAAUAAACCUAAAUUCAAGCACGGAUAAUCCGAAAACCGGAUAAUCUGGGCACGGAUAUUCGAGAGUUUACUGUAAUUGCAGUUGAGCCUAGUUUACUCCAUACUGUGCUAAAGCAGAGCUGCAAGAGAAAGCAGCCUUCUUUGUUUCCUCUUAAUAGCUAAUCAUACAUAUUUUGUCUGUGAGAUGAGUAAAUCAGUUUGUGCACCUAUUAACUUAGUCUUAAGUGACAAACAUGAUUUAAUUUUAUCAUACAUACAUAUGUGACCUACUAAAACUGCAACAUACAAAUAUAAGAUGAAUCAAGACACUUAAACAGUGCUGCCAACUAUUACGGAUUGUCCGUAGUUAUUACUGAUUUAGACGUCCAAUUACGGAAUUACGGAAGGCUAUUUCUUUAUUACGGACAAAGAUACAUUUAACGAAAAGUUAAAAAUAUCGGGUGUCUAGUUUUCCUUAGAUAUUUUCGGGACGGAGCGCUAUAUUUCGUACCAUAAAUAUCGGUCGUGUAUCCAAUUAGCAAUGUUUAGGGAAUGAGACUUUUGGUAUUCUAUAAUCUUACGGGCAUGAAAAUUCUGGUAAUUGUGGGUAGUUAAUGUUUUGGCAACAUUGAAAACAUAAAGGUUGGUAGCAGCCUACACAUGGAAGUUUUUCUAUUGUCUUUCGCGUUCCGCGUCGCAAUAGUUUUGUGUCUCGUGGCAAAAUGAAGCAUGUAGGCGUUCCUUCUACAUCUAGUGGCAAAAAAUUUGUUCAAAAAUACUGUGAAAGUUACACAAAAGAGUGGCCGUGUCUAAUUGCUUCAAAAGUUUCAGAUAAACAUGUAUUUUGUGAAGUCUGCAUCUGUGAUUUUGUUAUCGCACAUGGAGGACGUGAUGACUGCCGACGCCACAUUGAAUCUAAGAAGCAUCAAGAUUACGGUAAAGUGAGAUGUGUACACAAACCUAUUUCGUCUUUUUUUGUGAAAUCUAGUGAAAGUGAGAGUACGACCGCCGAACUGUUAUUUACGUCGUUCCUGGUGGAACAUAUUUUCUAUUGGCCGUUUCCGACCAUGCGAGUAAUUGGUUUCGGACUAUGUUUCCCAAUUCCAAAAUCGCCCAAAAAUAUGGAUGCGCACGGACAAAAAUUUCUGCGUUAGUGCAGUGCAUGGCAAACCAAACUAAGGAAGUAAUUGCUUCUGUUUUGCAAAUUUCAGCAUUUUCAUUAGCAACUGAUAGCAGUACAGACAAAAAUGCGGUUCAAUUGUAACCAAUUGUGGUUUCAUUUUACAGUGAAAAACUUAAUCAAGUCUGUACUCUACUGUUAUCUUUACUGGAAUCUUCGGACAACACAGGUGAAGGAAUUUUUACUGCCAUAGAUAGAGAACUGCGUUCAUUGGAAAUAUGUUGGGAUAACUGUAUUUCUUUCUCAUGUGAUAAUGCUAACACAAUGAUUGGUUCAAACAAAGGCGUGAUUUCAUUUGCAUGGGCUAAACACCCAUCCAUUUUUCUACAGUGCUGUUCAUGUCACCUUAUCCAUUUGGCUGCUCAGAAGGCUUCAAGUCAACUUUGUGUUAAUGUAGAACAGUUUUUGGUGCAGGUUUUUUACUUUUUAGAGAAGAGUUCCAAACGUCAGAAUACAUACCUUGAAACUACACCAAGCUGUCUGCGGAAGUAAACCUCACAAAAUUUUAAAGUGUGUCAGCACUAGUUGGCUUUCUCUUCUUGAAUCUGUUGAAAGAUUGUUAGAACAGUGUGAACCUUUGAAAUUGUUGUUUUGUGAACCAGACAGUAAUCUUGCUGCAAGCAGUUCUCAGUUUGAAUUCAUCAAGUAAUUGAUGCAAAAUCCUUCUACAAAACUCUACUGUCUGUCCCUUGAAAGUACACUUCCAUUCUUUAAUGCUGUGAAUAUUUUUUACAACAAGAAGUUCCUGUAAUUCACGUGUUAAAACGAAAAUUGCAAGGUCUUCUCAAUGAAUUGUUGGUUAGAUUUGUCAAGCCAUCUGCUUUGCAGAUAGGUUCCACAUCAAUUACUGAUGUUAACUUCAAAAAAAGGAAACACCAAAAAUAUGACACUGAUUUGGUUAUUGGUUCCAAGUGUAGAGCACAGUUGAAAGACUUAGCCAGCCAGGUUGAUGCUCAAAAAUUCUAUUUUUCUGUGCGUGAUUUCUAUGUUUCAGCAUGUAGUUACAUGGUAGAUAAAUUCCCACUGAAUGAACAUGCAACAUGCUGAAGUCUGUGAUAUUUCUUGCAAAGAAAAUGCCUCCUAUUCUUCAGUCCAGCAUUUCACUGAAAGAUUUCCAAAGCUUGCUGAUAGUACAGAUUUGGAUCUGUUGGAACAAGAAUUUGCAAUGUAUCAAUGUGAAACUUUUUCGGAUAACAUACUUAAUGCUGAAAAAAUGGAUGAUAGCUGGGGUAUUAUUUCUACUCAGAAAUUCAAGUGGUCAACUAAAAUUUAGAAUAUUGCCAAAAGUAAUGUUGGCGAUUUUGACAGUGCCUCACAGCAAUUCUUCAACAGAGAGAAUUUUCAGCAGUGUUCGUCGCAACCAAACAGAGUUUAGAUCAUCUUUGUCUACAGCAACUUUGGGUGAUCUAAUGGUGCAGAAAGUAAAAUGCAGUUCAUCUAAAGAAGUGUGCUAUAAAACACAUUUACUUCAAAGCAGAUUGAGGAAGCUAAGCUUGCAACAAUGCGGAUGUUAUCAGGCGAUAAUUAAAAGUUGCCGAGGAUUCAAGUUGUCUGCUAUUCCACCGGUAUCUUCAUCACCAGAGUCUUCAUCAGUCAGAACAGAUGGAUCCGGUGGUGCAAUAUAUACUGUUUCUGCAGUGCCAGCUUCAUUUUCAGCAUCAGCAAAAAUAAUGUCCAAAGCCUCCUGGACAGACACAUCUGGCUGCAGAAUGUUCUUCCAAUGUCUGCAAUAAAGAAUCAUUUCAAUCAUUGUAAUGCCAGAAUAUGACAGUUUGUGUCACGAACGAGUGAAUAUUUGUACAGUUAUUUUCAUGACAAAACAUUUAGUUUUGUAGCAGUGAACAGGUUGAUAUACAAUUACAUGCAUUUUUUAAGUCUCAGCUGAGAUGAAACUAGAGAAUGAUAUUGAAUGUUGUUUACAUGGAAAUAGCUGUAAACAGAAAUACAUUCGUAAUUGCUAAAAAAUAGUGAUUGCACUCAUUUAUAACUAAAAAAAAAAAAAAUCAUGUUUAGUGUCCGUAGUGUUCAUUGUAAAAUUUUUAAGCAUGGCUAGAAUAGUUUUUAACUUUUUGUAAUAAGAAUUCUCAAUUUUUAUUUACUUCUAUACUUAUAGUGAAAAGUGAUAUCAUGAAUGCCUAGCGUGUCCAAAUGGACACAUCAACAUUUCAUGCCAAAUAAAGAUAAGACUUUCCAAUAAACAGGAAUCUUAACCUCAACAUUCAAAAGAACAUGCCUUUAGGCUAUAUUUUCAAUACCAACAUAUAUAAUUAGUAUUAUUUUAGGGAAUGAUAUAGUACUUACUCUUUGUCAACGUCCAUGGUUUCUGAGUUAUAAAAAUAUUCACUAUUUGGCACUGUCACACAUCACCACAAAAAUAAUGAACCAAAGUAGUUUAUACCUGAAAAAAAACUAACAUGUCUGCUGUAUCACAUAGCAUAGGUACCAACAUUAAAAGUUUCACCAGUAAAAAUCUCUCGCUUUUUUUGUAGAGUACUAAAAGUGUGUCCAUAUGGACACGCUGGGAAUUAAAGGGUUAAUGUUAAUUAUGUAGCUAAUUGAAACUAACUUGUGCCCGAAAUAAGUACAAAAUUAAAAUUUAAUGUCAUAUCAUUCAUUGGUUUGGCAGGUUAUUUCCAAAAAACAUUGCUAAUUAUUUUUAAAGCUUCAACAUAGAAAAAAUGUCUUACUUAUGAAAUAACUUUGAAUGAUAUACUUAAAAUGACAUAAAUUAGUAUAAAAAAUGUUGCAUAUGUUUUAUAUUAUACUAAAAUUUCAGUGAAAGAAACAUGAACAUUUCAUUGAGAAUGUUAAGAAUAACUAACAAAAAGGUAUUUAUACAUGUCAUACAUUUCUUAAGUACAAGUUAAUACGAUAGAACUCUUAAAAGGUGACCAUUUGAAUCAAUUAUCCUCACACCACUUACUCCCAUCUAAUUGUUCCACCAUUGUCUACACAUAUAACUUUAGGCAUUGUUACAACCAAACUGUUAUUUGUAAAGCUACCUUGUCAUUAAAAAUUUACAUUUAGUUACCUGUAGCACUGUCUUUAAAAUACUCCACCUCUGCCCCUUCCUUCUGCAAUAGUCGGAGCAUGUUGGAUGCCCCAACAACCUGCAGGUUUUCCACCAUGCCCUGAAAUUACCAAAAAUAUUAUUAUCUCAUUUACUUAUGUGCCUUCUCUGAGGACCAUACAUUUUUAUGACAUUUAACUGCAAAGUAUCUGUUUUAUUAUGUUACAGCCUUUGUAUAAAAAAUUAUUCUUAUCAUUUCAAAUCAUUUCAGCCUUCACCUUACAUAGCCUGAGAUGCCACCACCUCUCAUACUCAUCCAAAUGUAAUUGCACUUUAAAGAAACUCUUCCAUAAAUAUUUAAUUUUUGAUGAAAAAUAUCUUGUGUAUUAAUUAAGUACUGGUACAUCUAUUAGUAUUUAUUAAUAAAAAUAUUAAAUUUCCUAGAAGAUAUAUUAUGUAUUGAGAUAAAUUUACUACAGACACAACACAAGAUCAGUUUAUUUUUCUUCGGCACAUUCCUUAAGGAAUGCUUACUGACUGAAAAAAAAGAGGCAUAACUUUUGUUAAAAGUGUAAUGUAUGUUACUAUAUUUUGAUGUAUUAACUAACAUUUACUUUAUUGACAUGACUAAUGUUGCAGAUUGUGAACAUAGGUUAUAAUAUCUUCAAUUCGUACUUACGUCACUAAUGUGUUAGUCCUUAAAUAAACAUUAACUUGCAUCAUAAACGAACAUAAUUUUGUUAAUUCUUUAAACUUCACAUGUCCCAUACUACAGUUUAUAGUCAGUAGUGGGGACAAAGAUGAAAUAAAAACACAUAAUAACUAACUUGGAUGAUUUAUAGCAUUUAAUAAUUUGUACAUGAUAAAUCCUUUAUUUCAUUAAUAGCUUUGUAAGUGCAACUCACAUAGGAAAAAUAUAAGGCGAGAUAGGUGGGGUUCAAAAACCACUUGGCAAUCUUUUAUAAUUAUAUUAAAUUGGGUGAAAAAUAAUGAUAACACAUUUUCCUUAUUAAAAAAAUAAAAUAAAAGAAAUUGCAACAAAUUUACAAUCCCAUUCCUAUCUGAUAAAGUUGUAAUAAAAAAAAGAGGUAAUUUUUCUGCAAAUUUUUUGUUUGCCAAUAAAUAACAUAUGUGAUGAAAUAUUAAUAACUUGAAUGAAAAGUAUACUUAAAUUCAUUGUUGAUCAUGUGUUACAACAAUUUGAUACAUACACUGAUAUAAUGUCUGUUAUGUUGUCGUCAUUCGGCUGUCUAAGGUUGUAAUUAGGCUUGGUUUGUGUUCAGGCCUUGUGGCGAUAGUCAGCUCAGGCUAAAGAAUAAAACAAACUGUCCUCCCAGUUACGAUGCGAGGGGUGAUGACAUUUUUGCUAGAGAACACUUAUUUCUUUCAUAAAUUUAUUUCAUAAUCAAAUAAUAUAGACACUGUUUCGGGAAAAUACUUGUCGAUUUUCAUUUCACUGGUGUAGGUUUCAUUUUUGUACUAAUAGUUUCGUAUCACUUAUCCAAAUUAAUCUGAUCCUGAUGGAAUUAGUUUGUGGUAUAGGAUGCUUGCUGUUUUAAUUUAGUAGGUCGAGAGAUCCUAGACAUAUUCACUGGGGAAAUAAUUAUGAUUGUAAAAUGUAUACGAAAGAAAUACAUUUUUACAAGACCUAACAUAAUUUGUUUGCAUCGUGAUAUGUUAAGGUAUUUUGUGUUAUGUACAGGAUUUUUCAACAUUCUAAAUUAAAACAGCAAGUAUAAUGUAAAACAAGACCAACAUAUAAAGGGUCAUGCCGAUAGGAUCAAGGGAUAAACUUGGAUACGGGAAACAGAAUAAUUCCAAUGCUGUUUUCGUUUUGCACUUGCGUGGCAGGUAGAUAAUAAGUGCCUAAAGGUUUGUAAGAUAGGGAAGGGAUAAUUGGGUAACAUUUAUUUUCACAUUAAAUUGUAUUCAUUGAAUUAGAACUACGUCUGAAGUUGUAUGAAGUGCAUUUCAUUCCCGGCAUAUGUCCACUGUAUUACGAAUAAAAAUUCACAGAUACAACUUCCACGAAAACACACAUUUUAUAGGUAAUAAUAACCCUCGUUUUGCAAUUUUAAAAUUCACUUAUUUACACAUAUUCUUAAGCAGGAACAUUUAAGUUUAUAUACACUGCAUACAUUUAUGUACUUCGUGAUCAAUUAAAGUCAAAUAAUAAUACACGACUCGACGAGAAUAGAAAAGCGUGACUACACUUUCAUACCAUGUAAUUUUUAAUAAAACUUUGACGAAUACGGCGAAGCAUUUUAUAUUUAGUAAUAUUUAGUAAUAAAUUAUUCCAUCGCAUCCUGCAAAUAUUCAAUAGAAUUCCUCAAAUAGUCAUCAUCACUAUCAACAACUAACCUCGCCUGAUACAUCACUAUUUUAUUUUCUGUUGCUUAGCCUCUGGUUAAGCAGCUAGCGGCCGGUUCAUCCACCCGCUAGGUUAGCCGGAACUUUAACUAGAAGGUAGACGUUAACAGGGAGUCAUAAAACCGAAAUAAGAGCUAGCCUGCGGUUAAAUUUAGCCGGAACUUUAGCCGGGGGUCAUAAAACCGGCCCUUAGAGCGUGAGAAUGGCCAAGGGAGGGAUUCCAACCAAAUGUAAACAAAGAGGGGUUCUGUUCUGUCCUGACACGUAAAACAGGGUACACAAUAAUUAAAGUUGACGUUUCUUUUACGCUGCGCUGCGUGUCUUACCUCAACAGAAAACAAGACUGAUCCAUGUCAGCAAAUAUGAUGUUAAUUUUUUUUAUAAAUAUAACAUAACAUUAAAACAGUUCAAAUAAUGAACUUACUUACCCAAAAAAACUGAUACUGCAACAGCACUCAAAAUAUUAAUUUAGUCUGCAUUUUAGUAACUGCAAUUUCAAAUAGAUAAAUGUCACGAAAACCUAAUUUAAAAGAAAAUUAUACACUUAAGAGUUUAAAAAAAUGUAAGUCUUUCUCAACACAUCACUUUCUAAUCUGCUACCGACGCGUCGCUAUCAUCUUCCUCGGCGUUACUGCUUUCUGCGUCAGCAUUGCUCCUGUCGUCAUCUUUAUCUUCCCAGAUUACAUAGUCUUCAGUUCCAUCGAGAGUGACGGUGAUGCCAGUCUUUUUGAAGCUUUUUACCACCAUAGCUUCGGUGAUGAGUGCCCAGCUUUGUCUCACCCAGUCGCAUAUCUGGGUUAGCGAUGGUCUUUUUAGUUUUCCCCCUGGAGUGAGUUCGUGAUUAUCGUCUGCCAUACAUUCAGAGUAGAGUCUGCGAAGGUGUCCCUUAAAAGGUUUGUUGAGGGAGACAUCUAGGGGCUGCAGGACAGAUGUCAGGCCUCCCGGAAUUACAGCUAUGUCGGUCUUGCCUUCAGACAGGUCACGCUUGACAUCUUCCACAAGAUGUGCUCGGAAACUAUACCACACAAGUAACGAUUGUUUCUUCAGAAGAGCACCGGGUCGACGAUUCCAUACAGUUUUUAGCCAGUCUUUCACAAGCCUUUCUCUUGGACCCGCACAUGCACACCACGCGGAAAGCUAGUGCCUUUUGGCAUUGUUUUCCUCUUGAAAAUGAUGUAUGGCGGCAGUUUCCGCCCAUCAGCCGUUACAGCUAGCAUAACUGUACAGCGUAACUUUUCGUUUCCGGUUGUACUAACGGUAAAACUUGAUGCUCCCCUCGGACUAAUCGUCGUACUUUGCGGCAUGUCAAAGUAUACCGGAGUUUGGUCAGCAUUACCUAUUUUUGAGAGUAGGUAAUGAGUUUUUCUCUGCUUAAUGAUGAAUCGCUGAAACUGCAGUAACUUUUCGUUAUAUUCUUUCGGCAAUUUUUGACUUAGUGAUGUUCUUCAUCGCAGAGAAAGGUUGUUCCGCCUCAUAAAUCUUGUGAUCCAUCCACGACUAGCCCUGAAUUCGUUAUGCGGUGUAUUCAUGGAACGCGCAAUUUCCCGCGCCUUUACUAUAAAUAAAGGGUGCGGACAUUAUGCGAGGGCAGACAUUGCGCGAGUGAAUACGGUACUUUCAAUAUCUCUUAAAUUGACUUUUCGUAAUAAUUUGUUUCCCAGAUGUUAUAAAUUUUAUCAUUAGACUAAAAAGUUAUUUUCAUCCACAACUUUGUAUUCGAGUAAAGAUAAGUCUGAAUGACAUUUCAUUGAGACCAACAUGAACUCCAAGCAGCUUACCCAUCCUGUCAAUAAAAGAUGGACCUUUCACCCACCUCCUGACAAAAAUAAAA
This is a long non-coding RNA of Bacillus rossius redtenbacheri, 9659 nucleotides long. RefSeq lists it as uncharacterized. NCBI's taxonomy places the organism in Eukaryota, Metazoa, Arthropoda, Insecta, Phasmatodea, Bacillidae. The transcript has 2 exons. The record is from RefSeq and is a predicted model, not a curated record.